This 740-nucleotide small RNA is filed under the name Pongo abelii (Sumatran orangutan). Its description in RNAcentral is "retained intron". Lineage: Eukaryota; Metazoa; Chordata; Mammalia; Primates; Hominidae. The record is from RNAcentral.
GUGCUGUCCUUAUUCCCAGCCCAGUCAAGAGCUACCGGGGCUGGCUAGUCAUGGGGGAGCCCAGUAGAGAGGAGUAUAAAAUCCAGUCCUUUGAUGCAGAGACCCAGCAGCUGCUGAAGACAGCACUCAAAGCCCCGUCUCUUGAAUGCACAGCUGCCUGCUUUGAGACAGAUGGAGAAUAUUCCGUUUGCCAGAGGAGCUAUAGUAAUUGCUCUCGCCUGAUGCCUUCCCGCUGUAACACGCAGCACAGAAAUCCGGGUGCUGUGGACUUGGAGAAAGUGGCCAAUGUGAUUGUGGACCAUUCUCUGCAGGACUGUGUGUUCAGCAAGGAAGCAGGACGCAUGUGCUACGCCAUCAUUCAGGUUGAGGGUUGGGAGAGUAAAGGAAGCUGCUUUGAGGAAGGUGCUUCAGGAGUGGGCAGAAGGCCUGGCCUGCAGGACAGAGAUGCACAGGGUCUAGCUCAAAGACAGACAGAGGCAUAGGAUGGGUGGGGUUGCAGGGGCACCGCCCCCCACCCUUCACCUUCCUCUCCCUGGCUCACAGGCAGAGAGUAAACAAGCAGGCCAGAGUGUCUUCCGGCGUGGACUCCUCAACCGGCUGCAGCAAGAGUACCAGGCUCGGGAGCAGCUGCGAGCACGCUCCCUGCAGGGCUGGGUCUGCUAUGUCACCUUUAUCUGCAACAUCUUUGACUACCUGAGGGUGAACAACAUACCCAUGAUGGCCCUGGUGAACCCUGUCUA